GACGAACGCUGGCGGCGUGCCUAAUACAUGCAAGUAGAACGCACAGUUUAUACCGUAGCUUGCUACACCAUAGACUGUGAGUUGCGAACGGGUGAGUAACGCGUAGGUAACCUGCCUGGUAGCGGGGGAUAACUAUUGGAAACGAUAGCUAAUACCGCAUAAUAUUAAUUAUUGCAUGAUAAUUAAUUGAAAGGUGCAAUUGCACCACUACCAGAUGGACCUGCGUUGUAUUAGCUAGUAGGUGAGGUAACGGCUCACCUAGGCGACGAUACAUAGCCGACCUGAGAGGGUGAUCGGCCACACUGGGACUGAGACACGGCCCAGACUCCUACGGGAGGCAGCAGUAGGGAAUCUUCGGCAAUGGACGAAAGUCUGACCGAGCAACGCCGCGUGAGUGAAGAAGGUUUUCGGAUCGUAAAGCUCUGUUGUAAGAGAAGAACGGGUG
RNAcentral lists this ribosomal RNA (445 nucleotides) under Streptococcus gordonii. RNAcentral's name for it is "bacterial SSU rRNA". It matches the Rfam family "Bacterial small subunit ribosomal RNA", at positions 28 to 455 of the family's 1533-position model. Lineage: Bacteria; Bacillati; Bacillota; Bacilli; Lactobacillales; Streptococcaceae. The record is from RNAcentral.